Cryptomeria japonica (Japanese cedar) is the source of this 587-nucleotide long non-coding RNA. RefSeq lists it as uncharacterized. The record is from RefSeq and is a predicted model, not a curated record. Lineage: Eukaryota; Viridiplantae; Streptophyta; Pinopsida; Cupressales; Cupressaceae. The transcript is spliced from 5 exons.
UUGUAUUUUUGGACUUGACGUACCUUUCUGAAAAUUGAAAGUUUGCAACACUGCAGUGUGCUGGUUCAAGUUGAAAUAAACACAUGCAUAUCACACAGCUAGUGGGAUUUUUGACCAGGUACCCCCCACAAAAUUCAAACACCUGCACAUAAAGAAACUUUAAAAGUUGGAAGUUUUAUCUACUCGAAGGUAAAGGAUGACAAAGCUAGAGUUAUCCAGACGUUACUGUUUGUAGCGGACAGUACAAAGAUGUAAGAUAAUAGGAAUCCAAUGACAGCCGUUCUUGUUGCUGAAAUGGAGUUGACCUUCCUCUUGAUUAUGUCCACGCAGCACAUUAAUUUGCUCCUUUGUGAAUAAUUUGGUUCAUAUGUACCAUACCUUAACAAAAGACUAAAACAAUCAUGAAACAAUUUGUUGAGAAGAACAAACUUUUUUAGUUUUAAGCAUGGGAGUCACUAAAGGUUCUGAAAUCUUUGGUGGACACCAAGUUGCUUUUUUAGUAGUAGGAUUGUCAAGUUUGUGCACAUCUCAAGAAUGGAGAGCCACAGGAUUGUAUUGUUUGGAUCAUCCUGUAUUCUUUAUGAAUA